Molecule: ribosomal RNA, 461 nt
Filed under: uncultured Glomus
Lineage: Eukaryota; Fungi; Glomeromycota; Glomeromycetes; Glomerales; Glomeraceae
Description: SSU rRNA
Rfam family: Eukaryotic small subunit ribosomal RNA
Source: RNAcentral
AGCAGCCGCGGUAAUUCCAGCUCCAAUAGCGUAUAUUAAAGUUGUUGCAGUUAAAAAGCUCGUAGUUGAAUUUCGGAAUCAAUUUGUUGGUCGUGCCUCGGUACGUACUGGUAUUAUUGGUUUCUACCUUCUGAAGAACCUUGAUGUCAUUAAUUUGGUGUCUUGGGGAAUCAGGACUGUUACUUUGAAAAAAUUAGAGUGUUUAAAGCAAGCAUACGCUUGAAUACAUUAGCAUGGAAUAAUGAAAUAGGACGUUUGAUUCUAUUUUGUUGGUUUCCAGGAUCGACGUAAUGAUUAAUAGGGAUAGUUGGGGGCAUUAGUAUUCAAUUGUCAGAGGUGAAAUUCUUGGAUUUAUUGAAGACUAACUACUGCGAAAGCAUUUGCCAAGGAUGUUUUCAUUAAUCAAGAACGAAAGUUAGGGGAUCGAAGACGAUCAGAUACCGUCGUAGUCUUAACCAUAA